Esox lucius (northern pike) is the source of this 1037-nucleotide long non-coding RNA. Lineage: Eukaryota; Metazoa; Chordata; Actinopteri; Esociformes; Esocidae. The record is from Ensembl.
GCAUUCUUGGAAUCUUUUUCCCCCAUGAUAUUAAGGGAAAUAUUCAUUACGAUAUAUAACCUGGAAAAUUAUCUUAGAUUUUCUCUAGGCCACUGUUUUUAAAUUAAAUGAUUCUAGAAAAAUGUUCAAACUCAUGGCAUGGUGUUUGUAACCAUACAUUAAGGCAAUUCAACUCUGGGCCUCGAGGGCCCUGUUUUCUGUUUCUACCUGCUACAUAAUUGUACUCAUCUUGUGUCUCAGGCAGGCCCAGAUCUAUUGGGGGGUGGGGUACCUCUGAUAGCCUCUGAAUAGCAGGAGAGGUUGUAAACCAAUAAGGGUUUCAGUUUCAAGGACCAAAGUUGAAUAGUCCAGCCAUACAUUAUGUUAGUAGGAACUUCGCUAUAGUAAAACAAAUAAUGUUAAAUAAGCCAUUUCAACUUGAAUUUCAUUGAAUUAAUCUCUACAUCUUUUAAGUGAAUUGCAGUUCGCAACUCAUUUCAGGAUGAACCCAACCCUGAGUCCUACCACUUGUCAAUGUUGUCUGGAGGUCAGUUGUACAGUUUUUUUGUAUAUUAAAUUGUUAGCAGGACUCUGCUUUUACUGGGCUUUUAUUGAGCUCUCGAUCGUGUUAUAAAAAGAGACCUCCCAAGUCCUCUCACUAACUACCAAACAAAAAGAAUGGAAAUCAUUUCAAAUUUGCGAGCAUUGUUUUGUACAUAUGGAUUAAAAACAUUUUAAAAGGGUAUACUAAAGGUGCAAAAUGUAUAUUAUUUAAAACGUUUUAAUAAUUAGACUGUGGUAUUAAAGGGCAUGUGUUCACUUGCAGUGUCUCCAUUUGAUAUUUCUUGCAUAUUUGCGAUAAUAAAAGGAUGUACUGUAUUUUAUGGCUAAGCCUAACCUGUCUUUACUUAAUUCUGUAUAUUUGGAUACUGGGAUGUUGUUUUCAGCUACACUUAAACUGUGUCCAUUACUGAGAGCUCAAAAUUCAUCUGAUAAAACUAUGCAUCACCACAUGUUUGCAGUGCACCAGAAUAGUGCCUGCAUGUGUGAAGCAGGGG